RNAcentral lists this ribosomal RNA (498 nucleotides) under uncultured bacterium. Its description in RNAcentral is "partial 16S ribosomal RNA". It matches the Rfam family "Bacterial small subunit ribosomal RNA", at positions 30 to 523 of the family's 1533-position model. The record is from RNAcentral.
AUUGAACGCUGGCGGCAUGCCUUACACAUGCAAGUCGAACGGUAACAGGUCUUCGGAUGCUGACGAGUGGCGAACGGGUGAGUAAUACAUCGGAACGUGCCCGAUCGUGGGGGAUAACGAAGCGAAAGCUUUGCUAAUACCGCAUAAGAUCUAAGGAUGAAAGCAGGGGACCGCAAGGUCUUGCGCGAACGGAGCGGCCGAUGGCAGAUUAGGUAGUUGGUGGGAUAAAAGCUUACCAAGCCGACGAUCUGUAGCUGGUCUGAGAGGACGACCAGCCACACUGGGACUGAGACACGGCCCAGACUCCUACGGGAGGAAGCAGUGGGGAAUUUUGGACAAUGGGCGAAAGCCUGAUCCAGCCAUGCCGCGUGCAGGAUGAAGGCCUUCGGGUCGUAAACUGCUUUUGUACGGAACGAAAAGACUCUUUCUAAUAAAGAGGGUCCAUGACGGUACCGUAAGAAUAAGCACCGGCUAACUACGUGCCAGCAGCCGCGGUAA